UGGGGAAUAUUGCACAAUGGGCGAAAGCCUGAUGCAGCAACGCCGCGUGAGCGAUGAAGGCCUUCGGGUCGUAAAGCUCUGUCCUCAAGGAAGAUAAUGACGGUACUUGAGGAGGAAGCCCUGGCUAACUACGUGCCAGCAGCCGCGGUAAUACGUAGGGGGCUAGCGUUAUCCGGAAUUACUGGGCGUAAAGGGUGCGUAGGUGGUUUCUUAAGUCAGAGGUGAAAGGCUACGGCUCAACCGUAGUAAGCCUUUGAAACUGGGAAACUUGAGUGCAGGAGAGGAGAGUGGAAUUCCUAGUGUAGCGGUGAAAUGCGUAGAUAUUAGGAGGAACACCAGUUGCGAAGGCGGCUCUCUGGACUGUAACUGACACUGAGGCACGAAAGCGUGGGGAGCAAACA
RNAcentral lists this ribosomal RNA (401 nucleotides) under uncultured bacterium. RNAcentral describes it as "bacterial SSU rRNA". It matches the Rfam family "Bacterial small subunit ribosomal RNA", at positions 355 to 774 of the family's 1533-position model. The record is from RNAcentral.